Molecule: long non-coding RNA, 264 nt
Organism: Periophthalmus magnuspinnatus
Lineage: Eukaryota; Metazoa; Chordata; Actinopteri; Gobiiformes; Gobiidae
Exons: 3
Source: RefSeq, a predicted model, not a curated record
UUUAAAUCUUACCCCACAGUGGGAGGCAUAGCUCUGUACCUGUCCCUCCUCCCACUCUGGAGCCACCUACACAGAUUCCUGAGAAACAUCUUCCUGGUCACAUGUGUGCUGAUCGCCUGCUCUGCUCUGUUCCCUGUGCUGUGGCAUCUGUGGAUCUACUCUGGCAGUGCCAACUCCAACUUUUACUACGCCAUUACACUACUGUUCAAUGUGGCUCAGAUUCUCCUGGUGUCAGACUACUUCUACGCCUUCUUACGGAGAGAG